GACGUAGGGUGCAAGCGUUGUCCGGAUUCACUGGGCGUAAAGAGCGCGUAGGCGGUCUGUUAAGUGAGAAGUGAAAUCUCCAGGGCUCAACCCGGAAACGGCUUUUCAUACUGGCAGACUAGAGGGAUGCAGAGGUUUGUGGAAUUCCUGGUGUAGCGGUGAAAUGCGCAGAUAUCAGGAGGAACACCGGUGGCGAAGGCGGGACUCUGGGCCGAUACUGACGCUGAGGAGCGAAAGCGUGGGGAGCAAACAGG
This 254-nucleotide ribosomal RNA is filed under the name uncultured bacterium. RNAcentral's name for it is "partial 16S ribosomal RNA". It matches the Rfam family "Bacterial small subunit ribosomal RNA", at positions 524 to 776 of the family's 1533-position model. The record is from RNAcentral.